GAUGAACGCUAGCUACAGGCUUAACACAUGCAAGUCGAGGGGCAGCAUGGUCUUAGCUUGCUAAGGCCGAUGGCGACCGGCGCACGGGUGAGUAACACGUAUCCAACCUGCCGUCUACUCUUGGACAGCCUUCUGAAAGGAAGAUUAAUACAAGAUGGCAUCAUGAGUCCACAUGUUCACAUGAUUAAAGGUAUUCCGGUAGACGAUGGGGAUGCGUUCCAUUAGAUAGUAGGCGGGGUAACGGCCCACCUAGUCUUCGAUGGAUAGGGGUUCCGAGAGGAAGGUCCCCCACAUUGGAACUGAGACACGGUCCAAACUCCUACGGGAGGCAGCAGUGAGGAAUAUUGGUCAAUGGGCGAGAGCCUGAACCAGCCAAGUAGCGUGAAGGAUGACUGCCCUAUGGGUUGUAAACUUCUUUUAUAAAGGAAUAAAGUCGGGUAUGGAUACCCGUUUGCAUGUACUUUAUGAAUAAGGAUCGGCUAACUCCGUGCCAGCAGCCGCGGUAAUACGGAGGAUCCGAGCGUUAUCCGGAUUUAUUGGGUUUAAAGGGAGCGUAGAUGGAUGUUUAAGUCAGUUGCGAAAGUUUGCGGCUCAACCGUAAAAUUGCAGUUGAUACUGGAUAUCUUGAGUGCAGUUGAGGCAGGCGGAAUUCGUGGUGUAGCGGUGAAAUGCUUAGAUAUCACGAAGAACUCCGAUUGCGAAGGCAGCCUGCUAAGCUGCAACUGACAUUGAGGCUCGAAAGUGUGGGUAUCAAACAGGAUUAGAUACCCUGGUAGUCCACACGGUAAACGAUGAAUACUCGCUGUUUGCGAUAUACAGCAAGCGGCCAAGCGAAAGCGUUAAGUAUUCCACCUGGGGAGUACGCCGGCAACGGUGAAACUCAAAGGAAUUGACGGGGGCCCGCACAAGCGGAGGAACAUGUGGUUUAAUUCGAUGAUACGCGAGGAACCUUACCCGGGCUUAAAUUGCAGAUGAAUUACGGUGAAAGCCGUAAGCCGCAAGGCAUCUGUGAAGGUGCUGCAUGGUUGUCGUCAGCUCGUGCCGUGAGGUGUCGGCUUAAGUGCCAUAACGAGCGCAACCCUUGUUGUCAGUUACUAACAGGUUCCGCUGAGGACUCUGACAAGACUGCCAUCGUAAGAUGUGAGGAAGGUGGGGAUGACGUCAAAUCAGCACGGCCCUUACGUCCGGGGCUACACACGUGUUACAAUGGGGGGUACAGAGGGCCGCUACCACGCGAGUGGAUGCCAAUCCCAAAAACCUCUCUCAGUUCGGACUGGAGUCUGCAACCCGACUCCACGAAGCUGGAUUCGCUAGUAAUCGCGCAUCAGCCACGGCGCGGUGAAUACGUUCCCGGGCCU
Molecule: ribosomal RNA, 1358 nt
Filed under: uncultured bacterium
Lineage: Bacteria
Description: bacterial SSU rRNA
Rfam family: Bacterial small subunit ribosomal RNA
Source: RNAcentral